RNAcentral lists this ribosomal RNA (305 nucleotides) under uncultured bacterium. RNAcentral's name for it is "bacterial SSU rRNA". It matches the Rfam family "Bacterial small subunit ribosomal RNA", at positions 333 to 655 of the family's 1533-position model. The record is from RNAcentral.
UAAAUCCUAUGGGAGGCAGCAGUGGGGGAUAUUGCACAAUGGGGGGAACCCUGAUGCAGCGACGCCGCGUGGGUGAAGAAGCGCCUCGGCGCGUAAAGCCCUGUUAGCAGGGAAGAAAAUGACGGUACCUGAAGAAGAAGCCCCGGCUAACUACGUGCCAGCAGCCGCGGUAAUACGUAGGGGGCAAGCGUUAUCCGGAUUUACUAGGUGUAAACGGGGCGCAGACGGCGAUGCAAGCCAGGAGUGAAAGCCCGGGGCCCAACCCCGGGACUGCUCUUGGAACUGCGUGGCUGGAGUGCAGGAGG